This 131-nucleotide non-coding RNA is filed under the name Corynebacterium minutissimum. Its description in RNAcentral is "L31-Corynebacteriaceae ribosomal protein leader". It matches the Rfam family "L31-Corynebacteriaceae ribosomal protein leader". Lineage: Bacteria; Bacillati; Actinomycetota; Actinomycetes; Mycobacteriales; Corynebacteriaceae. The record is from RNAcentral.
ACUCGGGCACGAUCCUUACGCGCACAGUUAAUCUUUGCCAGUGCAGCACUACGCAGCGAUACGCAUAGUGUGCGGGCGAAUUUCAUAUUGUGCGGAGAGAGGGAACCGACCCGUAGUUCAACCCUGAGGGA